ACAUCUCUUGGAGUUCUAGCUCACCUUUCUGGUGUUGUUCUUGUACUCAUCUAUUUAAUCUAGUUCGGCCACUUCUUCUUGAACUUCUUGUUAGUUUUCAAGUCUGUUUUUUGUGUCCGUGACAGUUUGUCGAGACUGCACUAACUUGAGAUAUCAGAGCUAGUUCUUUCUUAGUAGAGUGUGGAUUACCCCUCUUCUUGAAGGUAUACUAGCAUUUUUAGAGGUUGCGGAUUACCCUCCUCUAAACUGAUACUUCUUGUGUUAUAAUAUUGGAGUCUUAUUCUUCUUGGAGAGAGUUGAUUACCACUCUUCUUGAAAUUCUUAAGGCGUUUUAUAGGUUGUGGAUUACCCUCCUAUAAACCAAUAUUGCCUCUUAUAGGG
This 381-nucleotide long non-coding RNA is filed under the name Physcomitrium patens. Its description in RNAcentral is "long non-coding RNA (PPAT_LNC003730)". Lineage: Eukaryota; Viridiplantae; Streptophyta; Bryopsida; Funariales; Funariaceae. The record is from RNAcentral.